Molecule: ribosomal RNA, 586 nt
Filed under: uncultured bacterium
Lineage: Bacteria
Description: bacterial SSU rRNA
Rfam family: Bacterial small subunit ribosomal RNA
Source: RNAcentral
ACGGGUGAGGAACACGUGGAGAAUCUGGCGUGAGGUGGGGGAUAUCCUGCAGAAAUGGGGGGUAAUCCCGCAUACGCUCUCUUUGGGAGGUCAAGGAGAGGAAAGCCUUGGGGCAACCUGGGGCGCCUGAUGGGGACUCCGCGGCCGAUUAGCUAGUUGGGGGGGUAACGGCCUCCCAAGGCGACGAUCGGUAGCUGGUCUGAGAGGAUGAUCAGCCACACUGGGAUUGAGAACGGCCCAGACUCCUACGGGGGGCAGCAGUGAGGGAUCUUCGGCAAUGGGGGCAACCCUGACCGAGCGACGCCGCGUGCAGGAUGACGGCCUUCGGGUUGUAAACUGCUUUUCUUCGGGACGAGAAACGGACGGUACCGGAGGAAGAAGCCUCGGCUAACUACGUGCCAGCAGCCGCGGUAAUACGUAGGAGGCGAGCGUUGUCCGGAGUUACUGGGCGUAAAGGGUGCGCAGGCGGUCGCGCGCAGUGUGGAGUGAAAUCUCCCGGCUUACCUGGGAGGGGGCUUUGCAGACGGCGCGACUUGAGGGUCGGAGAGGGGCGUGGAAUUCCGGGUGGAGCGGUGAAAUGCGUAGA